RNAcentral lists this ribosomal RNA (377 nucleotides) under uncultured bacterium. RNAcentral describes it as "bacterial SSU rRNA". It matches the Rfam family "Bacterial small subunit ribosomal RNA", at positions 523 to 898 of the family's 1533-position model. The record is from RNAcentral.
AUACGUAGGGGGCAAGCGUUGUCCGGAAUCACUGGGCGUAAAGGGCGUGUAGGCUGCUUAAUAAGUUAGAGGUGAAAACCAAGGGCUCAACCGUUGGAUUGCCUCUAAAACUGUUAGGCUUGAGUGCAGGAGAGGGAAGCGGAAUUCCUGGUGUAGCGGUGAAAUGCGUAGAUAUCAGGAGGAACACUAGUGGCGAAGGCGGCUUCCUGGCCUGUAACUGACGCUGAGGCGCGAAAGCGUGGGUAGCGAACAGGAUUAGAUACCCUGGUAGUCCACGCCGUAAACGAUGAGUGCUAGGUGUCGGGGGUAUCGACCCCCUCGGUGCCGGAGUUAACGCAUUAAGCACUCCGCCUGGGGAGUACGGUCGCAAGACUGAA